UGCAGUCGAGCGAUCAUUCGACUUGUUGGAUGAUUAGCGGCGGACGGGUGAGUAACACGUGGGCAACCUGCCUGUAAGACUGGGAUAACACCGGGAAACCGGUGCUAAUACCGGAUAAUUCUUUCCUCUCAUGAGGGAAAGUUGAAAGUCGGUUUCGGCUGACACUUACAGAUGGGCCCGCGGCGCAUUAGCUAGUUGGUGAGGUAACGGCUCACCAAGGCGACGAUGCGUAGCCGACCUGAGAGGGUGAUCGGCCACACUGGGACUGAGACACGGCCCAGACUCCUACGGGAGGCAGCAGUAGGGAAUCUUCCACAAUGGACGAAAGUCUGAUGGAGCAACGCCGCGUGAGCGAUGAAGGCCUUCGGGUCGUAAAGCUCUGUUGUUAGGGAAGAACAAGUACCGGAGUAACUGCCGGUACCUUGACGGUACCUAACCAGAAAGCCACGGCUAACUACGUGCCAGCAGCCGCGGUAAUACGUAGGUGGCAAGCGUUGUCCGGAAUUAUUGGGCGUAAAGCGCGCGCAGGCGGUCCUUUAAGUCUGAUGUGAAAGCCCACGGCUCAACCGUGGAGGGUCAUUGGAAACUGGGGGACUUGAGUGCAGAAGAGGAAAGCGGAAUUCCACGUGUAGCGGUGAAAUGCGUAGAGAUGUGGAGGAACACCAGUGGCGA
Molecule: ribosomal RNA, 672 nt
Filed under: Bacillus sp. (in: firmicutes)
Lineage: Bacteria; Bacillati; Bacillota; Bacilli; Caryophanales; Bacillaceae
Description: bacterial SSU rRNA
Rfam family: Bacterial small subunit ribosomal RNA
Source: RNAcentral